Molecule: ribosomal RNA, 408 nt
Filed under: uncultured bacterium
Lineage: Bacteria
Description: partial 16S ribosomal RNA
Rfam family: Bacterial small subunit ribosomal RNA
Source: RNAcentral
AUUGAACGCUGGCGGCAGGCCUAACACAUGCAAGUCGAGCGAAGCGGCGGAUGGGUGAGUCACGCGUGGGUAACCGGCCCUUAUGUCUGGGAUACCAUUUGGAAACAGAUGCUAAUACCGCAUCCUAAAGCAUGAACUUGCGAUGCAUAAGAUAGUUGGUAAGGUAACGGCUUACAAAGGCGAUGAUGCAUAGCCGAUUUGAGAGGCUGAUCGGCCACACUGGGACUGAGACACGGCCCAGACUCCUACGGGAGGCAGCAGUAGUGAAUCUUCCACAAUGGACGAAAGUCUGAUGGAGCAACGCCGCGUGAGUGAAGAAGGUUUUCGGAUCGUAAAGCUCUGUUGUUAGGGAAGUGGUAAUCAACCAGAAAGGCACGGCUAACUACGUGCCAGCAGCCGCGGUAAUUC